GGUUAAGUCCCGCAACGAGCGCAACCCUUAUCCUUUGUUGCCAGCGGUCCGGCCGGGAACUCAAAGGAGACUGCCAGUGAUAAACUGGAGGAAGGUGGGGAUGACGUCAAGUCAUCAUGGCCCUUACGACCAGGGCUACACACGUGCUACAAUGGCGCAUACAAAGAGAAGCGACCUCGCGAGAGCAAGCGGACCUCAUAAAGUGCGUCGUAGUCCGGAUUGGAGUCUGCAACUCGACUCCAUGAAGUCGGAAUCGCUAGUAAUCGUGGAUCAGAAUGCCACGGUGAAUACGUUCCCGGGCCUUGUACACACCGCCCGUCACACCAUGGGAGUGGGUUGCAAAAGAAGUAGGUAGCUUAACCUUCGGGAGGGCGCUUACCACUUUGUGAUUCAUGACUGGGGUGAAGUCGUAACAAGGUAACCGUAGGGGAACCUGCGGUUGGAUCAC
This 448-nucleotide ribosomal RNA is filed under the name Escherichia coli. Its description in RNAcentral is "bacterial SSU rRNA". It matches the Rfam family "Bacterial small subunit ribosomal RNA", at positions 1078 to 1526 of the family's 1533-position model. The record is from RNAcentral. Lineage: Bacteria; Pseudomonadati; Pseudomonadota; Gammaproteobacteria; Enterobacterales; Enterobacteriaceae.